Molecule: ribosomal RNA, 505 nt
Filed under: Osmozyma tolerans
Lineage: Eukaryota; Fungi; Ascomycota; Pichiomycetes; Serinales; Metschnikowiaceae
Description: LSU rRNA
Rfam family: Eukaryotic large subunit ribosomal RNA
Source: RNAcentral
AAACCAACAGGGAUUGCCUUAGUAACGGCGAGUGAAGCGGCAAGAGCUCAAAUUUGAAAGCGAGAUUUCUCGCGUUGUAAUUUGAAGGCCCGUGUCAACCGACUAUAUUCAAGUCCUUUGGAACAAGGCGCCAUUGAGGGUGAUAGCCCCGUGGAAUAUUAAAGGUGACUACGGCACGGAGCCAACGAGUCGAGUUGUUUGGGAAUGCAGCUCAAAGUGGGUGGUAAACUCCAUCUAAAGCUAAAUACCGGCGAGAGACCGAUAGCGAACAAGUACAGUAAUGGAAAGAUGAAAAGCACUUUGAAAAGAGAGUGAAACAGUACGUGAAAUUGUUGAAAGGGAAGGGCUUGCAAGCAGACACGGUUUUACCGGGCCAGCAUCGGUAGAUACAGAGCGAAAAGGGGGGAAAUAUGUGGCGCUUUUUGCGUGUUAUAGUUUCCUCUGAUAACUCUGUUUCUUCCGAGGCCAGCGAUUCAUGGAUGUUGGCGUAAUGGUUGCAAGCCGC